AACGCGAAGAACCUUACCAAGGCUUGACAUGGAGUUGAACGGUUUAGAGAUAGACCUUCCCUUCGGGGCAAUUCACACAGGUGGUGCAUGGUUGUCGUCAGCUCGUGUCGUGAGAUGUUGGGUUAAGUCCCGCAACGAGCGCAACCCUUAUUUUUAGUAGCCAUCGGGUGAAGCCGGGCACACUAGAAAGACAGCCGUGGAUAACACGGAGGAAGGCGGGGAUGACGUCAAAUCAUCAUGCCCCUUAUGUCUUGGGCAACACACGUGCUACAAUGGCGCAGACAGAGAGAAGCGAAGGAGCGAUCCGGAGCAAAGCUCAAAAAAGGCGUCUCAGUUCGGAUUGUAGUCUGCAACUCGACUACAUGAAGCUGGAAUCGCUAGUAAUCGCAAAUCAGCAUGUUGCGGUGAAUACGUUCCCGGGUCUUGUACACACCG
This 435-nucleotide ribosomal RNA is filed under the name uncultured bacterium. RNAcentral's name for it is "bacterial SSU rRNA". It matches the Rfam family "Bacterial small subunit ribosomal RNA", at positions 958 to 1392 of the family's 1533-position model. The record is from RNAcentral.